CGAACGGACGCACUGAAGCCGCGAACGGAUCCGCUCUUGCCGCAUGCAUCCAAAAGCCACGCCCAACUAAUCCACCUCUGCCGCACGCAUCCUUAUCCUCUCGUCGUUCACUCCUGCAGUCGUUUCUCACCUCGUUCACUCCCGUAACCAGGACGGGCGUCGCACAGUCAAUGUCGCCUCGCCCACCUGCCGAUGCUCCCUCUCUCCCUCCCUCCCUACCUACUCCUGCGACCUCCAUGCCACCGAGAGAGCGAUUGCGGAGACUUUCCAGCAAGCGGCGCCUCCCUCCUCUGCCUCCCUCCCCUCGCUCUGGUGGUCUCCAUGGCAACGGAGAGAAGCACGACGGCGAUGGCUUCCAGCGAGUCACCUGUUGCAACUGCUGGCCAUGUGCACGCGCGUGAGCAGCAGAGCAGGUGCGAGCGAGAACUCCUCGGAUGCAGUCGAGGCAACAUGGGAUAGAGUCCAAAAGGUGUGAGUCUGUGUGGACAGGGAGAGGGUGCAAGCUAGGACUCCCCAGGUGCAGUCGAGGCAGCACAGAUGAGGUCCAAGUGGUGUGAGCGCACAUAGACAAAAGCGAAAUGCAGUUGUGCGUAGAGAGUUGAGUACAGGUUUGGCCGUCCAGACGUGUGGGUCGGUCCAGACAUCCAGGCGCUACGUAAAACAAUCGGCCCAAACUCCAAGAUGAAAUAUCGUAACACAACGUCAACACAAUCAGAAUUCUGUACUUUCA
Long non-coding RNA from Sorghum bicolor (sorghum), 730 nucleotides. RefSeq lists it as uncharacterized. Lineage: Eukaryota; Viridiplantae; Streptophyta; Magnoliopsida; Poales; Poaceae. The transcript is spliced from 2 exons. The record is from RefSeq and is a predicted model, not a curated record.